AUUGAACGCUGGCGGCAGGCCUAACACAUGCAAGUCGAGCGGAUGAAGGGAGCUUGCUCCUGGAUUCAGCGGCGGACGGGUGAGUAAUGCCUAGGAAUCUGCCUGGUAGUGGGGGAUAACGUCCGGAAACGGGCGCUAAUACCGCAUACGUCCUGAGGGAGAAAGUGGGGGAUCUUCGGACCUCACGCUAUCAGAUGAGCCUAGGUCGGAUUAGCUAGUUGGUGGGGUAAAGGCCUACCAAGGCGACGAUCCGUAACUGGUCUGAGAGGAUGAUCAGUCACACUGGAACUGAGACACGGUCCAGACUCCUACGGGAGGCAGCAGUGGGGAAUAUUGGACAAUGGGCGAAAGCCUGAUCCAGCCAUGCCGCGUGUGUGAAGAGGGUCUUCGGAUUGUAAAGCACUUUAAGUUGGGAGGAAGAGCAGUAAGUUAAUACCUUGCUGUUUUGACGUUACCAACAGAAUAAGCACCGGCUAACUUCGUG
RNAcentral lists this ribosomal RNA (484 nucleotides) under uncultured bacterium. RNAcentral describes it as "partial 16S ribosomal RNA". It matches the Rfam family "Bacterial small subunit ribosomal RNA", at positions 30 to 507 of the family's 1533-position model. The record is from RNAcentral.